UGCCCGGUGCUCGAAGGUUAAUUGAUGGGGUUAGCAUUAGCGAAGCUCUUGAUCGAAGCCCGAGUAAACGGCGGCCGUAACUAUAACGGUCCUAAGGUAGCGAAAUUCCUUGUCGGUUAAAUACCGACCUGCAUGAAUGGCGUAACGAGAUGGGAGCUGUCUCAAAGAGGGAUCCAGUGAAAUUGUAGUGGAGGUGAAAAUUCCUCCUACCCGCGGCAAGACGGAGAGACCCCGUGGACCUUUACUAUAGCUUGACACUGCUAUUUGGAUAAAGAUGUGCAGGAUAGGUGGGAGGCUUUGAGUAUAUGACGCCAGUUGUAUAUGAGCCAUUGUUGAGAUACCACUCUUCUUUAUUUGGGUAGCUAACUAGCCUAAGUUAUCCUUAGGUAGGACAAUGUCUGGUGGGUAGUUUGACUGGGGCGGUCGCCUCCCAAAUAAUAACGGAGGCUUACAAAGGUUGGCU
This 463-nucleotide ribosomal RNA is filed under the name Campylobacter coli. RNAcentral describes it as "bacterial LSU rRNA". It matches the Rfam family "Bacterial large subunit ribosomal RNA", at positions 1860 to 2322 of the family's 2925-position model. The record is from RNAcentral. Lineage: Bacteria; Pseudomonadati; Campylobacterota; Epsilonproteobacteria; Campylobacterales; Campylobacteraceae.